UACGGAGGGGGCUAGCGUUGUUCGGAAUUACUGGGCGUAAAGCGCACGUAGGCGGCUUCGCAAGUCAGAGGUGAAAGCCCUGGGCUCAACCCCGGAACUGCCUUUGAGACUGCGUCGCUCGAAUCCGGAAGAGGCGGGUGGAAUUCCCAGUGUAGAGGUGAAAUUCGUAGAUAUUGGGAAGAACACCAGUGGCGAAGGCGGCGCGCUGGACCUGGACUGACGCUGAGGUGCGAAAGCGUGGGGAGCAAACAGG
Molecule: ribosomal RNA, 253 nt
Filed under: uncultured bacterium
Lineage: Bacteria
Description: partial 16S ribosomal RNA
Rfam family: Bacterial small subunit ribosomal RNA
Source: RNAcentral